Molecule: ribosomal RNA, 497 nt
Filed under: uncultured bacterium
Lineage: Bacteria
Description: partial 16S ribosomal RNA
Rfam family: Bacterial small subunit ribosomal RNA
Source: RNAcentral
GAUGAACGCUGGCGGCGUGCCUAAUACAUGCAAGUCGAGCGAACAGAUGAGGAGCUUGCUCCUCUGACGUUAGCGGCGGACGGGUGAGUAACACGUGGAUAACCUACCUAUAAGACUGGGAUAACUUCGGGAAACCGGAGAUAACACCGGAUAAUAUAUUGAACCGCAUGGUUCAAUAGUGAAAGACGGAUUUGAUGUCACUUAUAGAUGGAUCCGCGCCGCAUUAGCUAGUUGGUAAGGUAACGGCUUACCAAGGCAACGAUGCGUAGCCGACCUGAGAGGGUGAUCAGCCACACUGGAACUGAGACACGGUCCAGACUCCUACGGGAGGCAGCAGUAGGGAAUCUUCCGCAAUGGGCGAAAGCCUGACGAAGCAACGCCGCGUGAGUGAUGAAGGUCUUCGGAUCGUAAAACUCUUUUAGUAGGGAAGAACAAAUGUGUAAGUAACUAUUCACGUCUUGACGGUACCUAAUCAGAAAGCCACGGCUAACUACGUG